RNAcentral lists this ribosomal RNA (775 nucleotides) under uncultured delta proteobacterium. RNAcentral's name for it is "bacterial SSU rRNA". It matches the Rfam family "Bacterial small subunit ribosomal RNA", at positions 578 to 1356 of the family's 1533-position model. The record is from RNAcentral. Lineage: Bacteria; Deltaproteobacteria.
GCUUUGUAAGUCAGAAGUGAAAGCCCUGGGCUCAACCCGGGAAGUGCUUUUGAUACUGCGAAGCUUGAAUGUGGUAGAGGAUAGUAGAAUCCAGGUGUAGUGGUGAAAUACGUAGAUAUCUGGAGGAAUACCAGUGGCGAAGGCGGCUAUCUGGACCAACAUUGACACUGAGGCCCGAGAGCGUGGGGAUCAAACAGGAUUAGAUACCCUGGUAGUCCACGCCGUAAACGAUGGAUACUUGUUGUUGGUGGUAUUGACCCCAUCAGUGACGAAGCAAACGCGUUAAGUAUCCCGCCUGGGGAGUACGGUCGCAAGAUUAAAACUCAAAGAAAUUGACGGGGGCCCGCACAAGCGGUGGAGCAUGUGGUUUAAUUCGAUGCAACGCGAAGAACCUUACCUGGGUUUGACAUCUACUGGAAGACUCUCAGAAAUGAGGUCGCCUUCGGGCCGGUAGACAGGUGCUGCAUGGCUGUCGUCAGCUCGUGUCGUGAGAUGUUGGGUUAAGUCCCGCAACGAGCGCAACCCUCGUGUUUAGUUGCCAGCAUUCAGUUGGGCACUCUAAACAGACUGCCGACGUUAAGUCGGAGGAAGGUGGGGAUGACGUCAAGUCCUCAUGGCCCUUAUGGGUAGGGCUUCACACGUAAUACAAUGGUCGGUACAGAGGGCUGCCAACCCGCAAGGGGGAGCUAAUCCCAGAAAGCCGAUCGUAGUCCGGAUUGUAGUCUGCAACUCGACUGCAUGAAGCCGGAAUCGCUAGUAAUCGCGGAUCAGCAUG